GGCGGGCCAGGGCGUGGCACGCCUCGAGCGUGUCGGGCUCGGCGACGUGCACGACGUCGUCGAUGUAGGACUCGUCGAGCGCCUCC
Molecule: transfer RNA, 86 nt
Filed under: Pseudonocardia autotrophica
Lineage: Bacteria; Bacillati; Actinomycetota; Actinomycetes; Pseudonocardiales; Pseudonocardiaceae
Also listed under: 2 other names
Description: tRNA-Asp
Source: RNAcentral